CCUUAUGGCUGAUACAGAUCUUAUCUAGUGUCCCGGAACUAACAAGCAUCUUUAUCUAUUUACUCACAUUCACAGUUGGGGCUAGGGGAGUUUUAUGGUUACGGAGUUAUGCAGUCCCACACUGGGGCUGAAGCGCCCGCCUCAGAACCGGCGGACUGGAUGGCAAUGGCUCAGGCUUACAGGCAGAGUCUGACCAAAGAUUCAAUAGGCAGCUGCCGUUUGCUGAGAGGAAAAACAUGGCCAUGGACGGACCCCUUACCCCAGUUAUUUAUUUGCCGUUGAAAGCCUGGAGAAUCGGCCUGUUCCGAAGAGCACUGAGACCUGUCUGAAGUCAGAAAGCAAGCCAGUGGCAGGGCUGACUCGGCCUAGGACCAGCUCAGGAAAAGGGCAGCUGGGAGCGGGAGAGGAGUUCACCCCGCCGCGGCAGAGGCCCCGAAGGUCACCACACCACGUGCAGAUUCAGACUCCCAAGAGACCUAGAUUUUGUCAGAGAAUUCUGCCGUGGCAUCCUGAGACAAGGAUGAAGACCCAGGGUGGGGGCACUGGAGCCCCAAACUCUCCUUCAGAACAGCUUUGCUUUUCAUGUUUUAUACAUUGGAAUUCACCCAAAGAUACUAUUUGCACAAAGAGAUAUCCUACUAAAAAUGUUUGAAAACCCACUGGACUGCUGUGUCUUAAUUUAAUUUCCUUCUCACUCUAAAAUUUGGAUCUUAGAGUGUCAGGGCAUUUGCAACUCCCUGUCUUUGCUUGGCGCUGGCAGAGGUGUGUCAUAGAGAUGAGGCUGUGGAUCUGUCUCACCUGUCUUCCUGAAGACCAUUUCUACAACUGCGGAGCUGCCGCAUGUGUACAAGGUCUGAAUCCACGGAAUCAGAGCUGAGAAGCUGACAGCUCUUGGGGCAAGUUCCGCAUGCUCUGAUUGCCUCCUCGAAGCACAGCAUGAAGGCCAGCAGCUUCUCCCUGGGCCUCCGUGAGGGUCCUCGCUGGGUAUCUUGUGGAAACAUUCAAUGCCCAGCAUCACUGGUGGCAUCAGAAAUGCCCAGGAAAUGAAGUUCUUGAAAGCUUAUAUCCAAGACCCCCAAGGACAACGCAAAGCGAAUGUGUUCCUUUUGAGGAGGGCAUGUUGAAGCAGCAAGCUACAAGUAUUUUAUUAAAAUCUCACAGAUUAUAUUAAAAACUGGGAAAAAACCCAUGAAUGUAACUGUAUUUUUCAUAUUUUGAAAUCAUAUAUUCUUUGUGUUCAGUGGCUCUAUGUACCACAAUAUUUGGCUUCUUUUUCUAGCACCACACUAUUAAUUUGAAGAGUUAGUCUAUGCAGAACUCCAUUAUGUCAAAAACUCCAUUUUUGUCAACUACAUGUGAGAUAAGACCUUUUUUGUCCUUGAACUCUUGAGCUCAAGUGAUCCUCCUGCCUCAGCCCCCUGACUAACUGCCAUCAUGCCUGAUGUAAGUUGACUGUACCUGCCCAGCUGGCCUCAUGAAUGGAUGCCUUCUUCAUGGGAUAAGAGUUCUAUCCCUGAACUUCAGCUUGGUCUCUGGGGCUCUGGGAUGCUCCAACAGACUUCUCUGCUGAUCUUUUUUUUUUGGUACCAG
This is a long non-coding RNA of Heterocephalus glaber (naked mole-rat), 1590 nucleotides long. NCBI's taxonomy places the organism in Eukaryota, Metazoa, Chordata, Mammalia, Rodentia, Bathyergidae. The record is from Ensembl.